UCCAGAACCGAACCGGCCCACACUGCGGAGUGGGCCCGUGGGAAGGCCAGCCAUGGCGACCACCGUUAGAAAAAAGGGCUGUCAGGACUCCCCGCAGUCCACGUCGUCCUGUGCCCAGGCUGCCUGCGGGAGGCGAGAUCGAAAACUGGACUUCCUCUCUCUUCCUCCCCGGCAGCGGUGCAGGGUUAGGGCUGUAAUCCCCAAACUCAGAGCCCCACACCCCUGUGUCCAAUGGCCUGGCUACGCACCUGGAGAUUGAGUUCUCUGAUGCGAUGUCCUUUGGAGUCCGGACUGUAGUAAAGGUUCGUCCAGCUCCACGCCCACCCACUGGCCGCUGGCGAACUCGGUGGUCCCGCAGAACCGCAGUGUGCCUGUCUGGAAGAACAAGGAAGGGUGUGGCGUGGGGAGGCCUUGGGAGGCCACGAUAGGCCACUGUUUCACAGGCAGCAUGGAGGGGGAAGUGAGGGAGCCCCAGACUCAAACCUCAGCUCAGACAUCACCAUUUACUGGCUAUAUGACAUAACCUCACUGUGCCUUAAUGUGCUCUUCUGCAAAAUAGGAGCAGAAACUGUGCCUACCUUAGAGGAUUAGAACUACCCUGUUCAAUACAAUAAAGAGCCACUAGCCAAUAUAUGACAAUUUAAAAUUAAAUUAAAAAUUCAUUUCCCCAAUUACACCAACCACAUUUCAAGUGCUUAAUAGCCACAUGUGCCUUGUGGAUACUUCCUGGGACAGCAUAGUUAUAGCAACAUUUAAAGUUCAUAGAUUGGCCAGGUGCUGAGUAAGGGAUUAGUGAGUGUUGACUACUAUUAUCAUGUAACUUUGGUCCUGGGACCUCCUGGGUCAAUUUCAUCUGGAAAAUUGGGAUAACAAUCCACCUCCUAGGCUUUGACUGGUUGAAAACUUCUAAUAUGUAAAGUUGUUUAGCUUCAGGGAGUGUGGUUAUUAUAACAGCAUGAGGCCCCUUUACUUAAAUCUCAGUUCUUGUCUAUAGGAUGGGCUAAUAACAAGUGCCGCUUUGGAGGGUUAGUGUGGGGAUCUGAGCAGUUCCUGGCACAGAGAGCACUCAGAUGCACCAAGCCCUGUUCUAAGGAAUUUAUACAUUUAACUAAUUUAAACCUCAUACUUCUCCUUGACAUGGGAGUUAUCAGCUCUACUGUACAGAUGGAGCAACUGAUGCCCGGCGAGGCAGGAUCACUGACUCCAAGCCUCUGAGUUGGUAAGAUUUGCCUGAGUAAAUCCCUGAGCCUAAACUCAUAACUACUGUGUUAUGCUGAUUUUCUAAGGGGCAGGGAUGAUUAUUGUAUAUCCUCAAACAAAGGGUUUCACCUCUCUGAGCUUCCUAGAGUCUUCUGGAUUGCAAGAUGGGGUAAGUGAACUCAUCCUGUUUUCAGAAUUGUCACAUGAACUUAACUAGAUCACACACAGAAAGCUUUUCAGAUGGGGCUGAUGCAUACAGAAAGAUAGGGAACAAUAUGUAACCCUUGUGGUUUCUCAAGAAAUAAAAUCCAGAUUCUUCCAA
Pipistrellus kuhlii (Kuhl's pipistrelle) is the source of this 1522-nucleotide long non-coding RNA. RefSeq lists it as uncharacterized. The record is from RefSeq and is a predicted model, not a curated record. NCBI's taxonomy places the organism in Eukaryota, Metazoa, Chordata, Mammalia, Chiroptera, Vespertilionidae. The transcript is spliced from 3 exons.